GUGGUUGUGGCUCAGUGGUAGAGUGCCUAGGAUGUAUGAGGUACUGGGUUCGAUUCUCAGCACCACA
Molecule: non-coding RNA, 67 nt
Organism: Ictidomys tridecemlineatus (thirteen-lined ground squirrel)
Lineage: Eukaryota; Metazoa; Chordata; Mammalia; Rodentia; Sciuridae
Source: Rfam